This 45-nucleotide non-coding RNA is filed under the name Trichobilharzia regenti. Lineage: Eukaryota; Metazoa; Platyhelminthes; Trematoda; Strigeidida; Schistosomatidae. The record is from RNAcentral.
GUACUGAGGAGGAGUUCCAAAUAGGACGAAACAGCUGUCCAGUAC